GURGGCUGCACCAGAAGCGGCUAGUCYRACCUUCGGGAGGGCGGUCGCCACGGUGUGGYUCAUGACUGGGGWGAAGUCGUAACAAGGUAGCUGUAGGUGAACCUGCAGAAGGAUCA
RNAcentral lists this ribosomal RNA (116 nucleotides) under uncultured eukaryote. Its description in RNAcentral is "partial small subunit ribosomal RNA". The record is from RNAcentral.